Molecule: long non-coding RNA, 290 nt
Organism: Gorilla gorilla gorilla (western lowland gorilla)
Lineage: Eukaryota; Metazoa; Chordata; Mammalia; Primates; Hominidae
Exons: 3
Source: RefSeq, a predicted model, not a curated record
GUUCAUCCUGAUUUAGACUGUAAGCAGAUUGCAUCAUGGCGUGGAUACCAGGAGAGGAACAUCUGAGGCUGCGCAAUAUCUAAGGAAAAGAGGUUUAUUUGGCUCACUGCUCUGUGGGCUGUACAAGAAGCAUGGCACCAGCAUCUGCUCCUGGUGAGAGGCUCAGGCUGCUUCCACUCAUGGCAGAAGCUUGCUCUGGCUAACAACCACUAUCAUCAAAGUUGUCUGAGGAAGACCUCCUGUUGCUGUGACUGACGGGACUCUUGGUGGAAGCCCUAUUCCCAUGUGCC